Molecule: long non-coding RNA, 544 nt
Organism: Empidonax traillii (willow flycatcher)
Lineage: Eukaryota; Metazoa; Chordata; Aves; Passeriformes; Tyrannidae
Exons: 2
Source: RefSeq, a predicted model, not a curated record
ACAGACUGCUGCUGCCAGCCUCUGUGCCGCCCACUACCCCACCAUCCCCAUCAGCAGAGAGGAGAUAGCCAAUGUCUCAGGAGCUGGCGACAGCUUAAUGGCAGGAAUCCUUGCAGGGAUGCUUGAUAAACAUGACACAGAAACCUGUGUCCAGAUGGGUCUGCUUGCUGCAAGCUUGUCUCUCCGUUCCUAUGAGCCCAUAUCCCCAGAAAUCAGCACUUCCAGUGUCAGCCAGGAGCAAGUCAAGAGUAGGAGUUGGCCAGAGGCGAAGGUAUGGAAGAUGGACUAGAACACAGUGGCUUUCUUAUCUAUCACCUCCUUGAAGUCCCAGCAUUCCUAUUUCCAGGAACUAGACUGUUUUGAGCGUUGAGCUCAAAAGCUUGGUGCUGACCAGAGGACUUAGACUUUCAGUACUUUUGGGAGGUGAAUUGUUUGUAGAGUGCAUUCGGUGAAAACUGAUAUUACACUGUUCACAUUUAUGUUUGUCUGCUGUUGUUAAUGGUCCUUUUUUUUUAAUUUUAAAAAAAUUUUAUUUGGUGGGUUA